Molecule: ribosomal RNA, 538 nt
Filed under: uncultured archaeon
Lineage: Archaea
Description: bacterial SSU rRNA
Rfam family: Archaeal small subunit ribosomal RNA
Source: RNAcentral
AGCCGCCGCGGUAACACCGGCGGCCCGAGUGGUGAUCGUGAUUAUUGGGUCUAAAGGGUCCGUAGCCGGUUGGUCAGUCCUCCGGGAAAUCUGAUAGCUCAACUAUUAGGCUUUCGGGGGAUACUGCCAGACUUGGAACCGGGAGAGGUAAGAGGUACUACAGGGGUAGGAGUGAAAUCUUGUAAUCCCUGUGGGACCACCUGUGGCGAAGGCGUCUUACCAGAACGGGUUCGACGGUGAGGGACGAAAGCUGGGGGCACGAACCGGAUUAGAUACCCGGGUAGUCCCAGCCGUAAACGAUGCUCGCUAGGUGUCAGGCAUGGCGCGACCGUGUCUGGUGCCGCAGGGAAGCCGUGAAGCGAGCCACCUGGGAAGUACGGCCGCAAGGCUGAAACUUAAAGGAAUUGGCGGGGGAGCACAACAACGGGUGGAAGCCUGCGGUUUAAUUGGACUCAACGCCGGACAACUCACCGGGGGCGGCAGCAAUAUGUAGGCCAAGCUGAAGACUUUGCCUGAAUCGCUGAGGAGUGGUGCAUGG